RNAcentral lists this long non-coding RNA (483 nucleotides) under Prunus persica (peach). RNAcentral describes it as "long non-coding RNA (PPER_LNC003810)". Lineage: Eukaryota; Viridiplantae; Streptophyta; Magnoliopsida; Rosales; Rosaceae. The record is from RNAcentral.
AGUUCUUAGACCACUAAAUUCUAAAGACAUCGAUCACUUCACAUGCAAGCAAACCCCACAUACCCACUAAUUAAUACAACUUAAAUUUACUCAGCCUUCUCCACCGGCUCUUCCUUGACAACUUUCUCCUCGGCAGCAUCAGCAGCUGGCUUCUCUUCCUCAACAGCUUCAGGCUUCUCUUCUUCCUUAACCACUACCUCUUCUUUAGGAUCUUCAGCCGCUGGUUCCGAUACCGGCUCCGGGGCAAUUGGUUCGGCAGAAGGAGCCUCAGCAGAGUCGUCAAUAUUCAAUUUCUCCUUAGUCUCCUCUACAAGUUCUGGCUCAGCAGUCUUCUCUACUGUUGGUUCUUCUGCUUCUUCUUUGGCCACAACAUCUUCCUUCGCCUCCUCCACCACCUUCACCUCCUUUGUCUCAACCUCAACUGGGGUGGUUUCAUCAGCUUCUGCAGCCUCAGCCUUAGGAACUUCACCAGAAGCCACAACA